CUUGAGACAGUGAUGGCACCAUAAGACACCUGCAAGAAACAGCAUAUAGAGUCCAACGGAGAUCAGGACGACGGCAGGGAGUGGAAGGGAGAGAUCCCAUAACGGGACAACCUGAGAAAUAAACCAUUUCACAACACAACACUGUUGAGUUCUCGAUUCUGAUUGGUCAGACGGUGUUGAUUAAUUUUCUACCAUAGGAGCUCCGACAAUAUUCGCGGCAUUUACAAAUCGCAGAUUUAUUUUAACACGCUCGUUCUAAACACUUGUAUGGAUGGAAAACAUCAUCUAAAGAAAAAAAAUCUAAUAAUCCAUAUACUGAAGGCUUUAUUUUGAGUUCAUUGAAUAUUUACAGAAGCAGUCGGUAGGGUCUGGUAUGUUUUCCGAAAGGAGGAGGUAUGUUUUCCGAAAUUCUUCAGGACAGAGGACAGCUGUGCUGUUUUUCGGUUACAUGGCAAGCCGCAUUUUGUUUUGUUUUAGUACAUUUAAAAUAGAAGAAUAAAAGACAAUCUGGUGACAGAACGGCUGUAAUAGCUGCUAUAACGCAAGCAAAAACAGCUGUAAGAGGAAUUAAACACUUUGGGAUGUCAACAUCAGGGUCGUGACUGAAACUCAGCUUCCCAUUGUUGAUUAUUGAGCUAUAACAGCACGCCCACAAACGUUAUUUCCCCUUUAUUUAAUACACAACAAGGUCUGAGAUAAGUUAAUAAUGAUGAUAAUAAUAAUAAUUAUAUUAUUAUUAUUAUUUAUUUAGCGUUAACGACAACUACAUUAGAUUUGCUUGGUUCUGCAGCUUAGCUUCACUAGCUAACCGACUGAAAGGAAACCCAAGAGUACUCUUCCCUCUGUAUUCAGAUUACCAAUAAAACAGCUAUAGUUGUAAAGUCAAAUGUAACUAGCUACAAGAGCCAAUGUUGCUAACGAUGCUAUUGUUUAUACACACCGUCAUCAUCACACUCGUGAACUCCACUGUCUUUAUAAUCACCGCAUUAUCUAGUUAACCACAUCAUCUCGGCAUUUUACUUUCGUUAAUAAAACUAUACUAUUUUUUUCCCAUAAAACCAAUUCUCACUUAACGUAAAAACGUGGUUCAUCGGCGUUGUCCUGGCAACCAGGUAGCUGCCUGGCUUGUGCUUCUUCUUCUUCGUGGUUUUAAUGGUGACUUGUGAACCAGCUUUAGACAUCGCCACCUGCUGUACUGGAGGAUGGAACAGCUCCUCACAGCCCACUGAUUGCAAGACACAUCUGUCAAUCAAGAUAUACAGGAAGUACAGCAGGCUGCGGUAGUACUGGAAAGUCAAUUC
Long non-coding RNA from Ictalurus punctatus (channel catfish), 1301 nucleotides. Lineage: Eukaryota; Metazoa; Chordata; Actinopteri; Siluriformes; Ictaluridae. The record is from Ensembl.